GGGCCACAGAAUCUCUGCUAUGCACCACAUCGUGCAGUGCACAGUAUGCACAGUCACACAUGCAGUGGGCUAUGCAAUGCACGCUAUGCACAGCUAUCCAUCAUGCGAUGAAUGAUACAUGCAAUGCACCGUACUAUACGAUGCACCGCAUCGCAUAUACAGAUAAUCCGCGCUCCGGAUCUACAGCUUAUAAAUUUGCCCCU
This 203-nucleotide long non-coding RNA is filed under the name Elaeis guineensis (African oil palm). RNAcentral describes it as "long non-coding RNA (EGUI_LNC040069)". The record is from RNAcentral. Lineage: Eukaryota; Viridiplantae; Streptophyta; Magnoliopsida; Arecales; Arecaceae.